This 308-nucleotide ribosomal RNA is filed under the name uncultured bacterium. RNAcentral's name for it is "partial 16S ribosomal RNA". It matches the Rfam family "Bacterial small subunit ribosomal RNA", at positions 505 to 807 of the family's 1533-position model. The record is from RNAcentral.
GAGACAGCAGCAGCCGCGGUAACACGGAGGGUGCAAGCGUUAAUCGGAAUUACUGGGCGUAAAGCGCACGCAGGCGGUCUGACAAGUCAGAUGUGAAAUCCCCGGGCUUAACCUGGGAACUGCAUUUGAAACUGUCAGGCUGGAGUCUUGUAGAGGGGGGUGGAAUUCCAGGUGUAGCGGUGAAAUGCGUAGAGAUCUGGAGGAAUACCGGUGGCGAAGGCGGCCCCCUGGACAAAGACUGACGCUCAGGUGCGAAAGCGUGGGGAGCAAACAGGAUUAGAUACCCGUGUAGUCCCUGUCUCUUAUAC